ACUCAUUAAAUGGUAUUGGUGUUUUAUGAAUAGAAAUUUUAAUUUGACCAUUUUACCCUUAUUUUGAAGUUCAAAUCUUAGGAAAUAAAAAUGUAAUUAGCUUCAAAAUACACGUCUACUUUGGAUUGGUACGACCAAUUGCCACCUACCCCCUACCCCUUUCUUUCUCUAGAUUCUGGACGUAUCAACGGUACCAUUUCUCUACCUCGUUCGUUCUCCACUCCUCACAAACCCUAAAAACCCUCUUCUUCACCCAACCCCUCCGAUCUCAAUCCAGUUCAACCAAAAACCCAGCGAUCACAAGCGCAACCACCAGUUUCGACCGCCUGAGUGACUUCAUCAACACCUGUAAAGCCCCAAAAGAGGCGAAAUAGCGAAGCUGUCACAAUUGAGGCUCGAGUACGCCAACAAGGUGAAGGAAUUUCACUUUGGUUUUGUCCUUGAAUUUUGGAAUUAUUUGCAGAGUGGACUAGUUCUAUGUCUUUUGUUUGUCACAGAAUUUGUGGUAGCAGUAUUGUAUUCUAUGAUUUGAUUUCUUGGACUACAUGGUAAGAUGGAAGCUGCAGUUCUAACCCAAACAGGACACUCGAAAUUGGCAUUUCUCCAGAUCGAAUUUGUAAAAUCCAAUUCUUAGUCCACUCAAAAGGCCCCAAAGGCUCUAACUCACUCCAAAGGUGAGCUGUUGUGGCUUAUUUGAAUUAUGAUCACAGUUAUCACAAAUUCAAUCUAAAAAAUGAUCUUUAUUUGAACCCCGACCCAGCCAUUUACAAUCUCGGAUGGGCUACCAGCUUGCCUAGCUGGUCUCCCCUUCGACAUUCUCAUAGGAGAUAAUGAAAAGAGCAUGGAGUACAUAGAAGUUAAAGCAACCAAAUCUGCAAGGAAGGAUUGGUUCGCUAUAUCUGUGAGAGAGUGGUGAUUCGCAGUUGAAAAAGGUGAACCUUUCAGCAGUGCACAUGUCGUUUUAUUAGGUAACAAUAAGGCAAGGAGUACAGUAUUAAAAAAUCCAGUAAAGCUAUCCCAUCUAGGGAAGCUGCAAUAGCCUGUUUUGAUGCCAACGCAGCAGAAGGAAAUUUCCAUCAAUUGCUGAUGGUGCUACCUGUUACAUAUGUACUACGAGUUCCACUCGGAUGCUGGGGGAAUAUGACUUCUCAUUUGCUCGUAAUUUCCAAAAGGAUUAUUUACCAAUUGACUUAGUUUGGGUAUAUAAGGGCCAUUUGGUGCUCCAUCAAAUAAAAAUGUCUCUAGGAAGGACAAGAUAUGGUGGACAAGUGCAGCAAUUUAAAAACUUCUAUAGGGUUGCAGCAUACACAGAACUACAUGAAUAAAGCUAUGUUCCUUUGCACGGCAAUUCCGGUGUGCUGAAAGCAUACAACCAUCAAUAAGGGUUUUGCAUAAUCUGGAGAACUGACCAGUGGUCACCAUAUAUAGUUUAAGUUGUACCGGCAGAAUUUUUUCCUUUUCAGGAUUUGUGGCAGCAGUGUAAAUAUUGUCAACAACUUUUACAUUCUUUUCCCCUAUAUAUAUAUUUUUUUAAUCGUUCA
Cornus florida is the source of this 1541-nucleotide long non-coding RNA. RefSeq lists it as uncharacterized. Lineage: Eukaryota; Viridiplantae; Streptophyta; Magnoliopsida; Cornales; Cornaceae. The transcript is spliced from 2 exons. The record is from RefSeq and is a predicted model, not a curated record.